This is a long non-coding RNA of Pyrus x bretschneideri (Chinese white pear), 919 nucleotides long. RefSeq lists it as uncharacterized. The record is from RefSeq and is a predicted model, not a curated record. NCBI's taxonomy places the organism in Eukaryota, Viridiplantae, Streptophyta, Magnoliopsida, Rosales, Rosaceae. The transcript is spliced from 2 exons.
UCUCUCUCUAUUUCUUUCCCCUAAAGUUCGCAUCUUUUUAUACAUGAUGAGGUUUUUUUGAAUGAUAUAAGCAUGAUUACCAGUAAAAUAGGAUUAAUUUGUGAUAGAAUGGAGAAAAAGGUUGAGAACUUGUUUCCUUUUGAGGGAAUUUGAAAUGGGUUUGUAUUGAUUUUAGAAAAAGGGUUUUAGAAAUUGGGGUUUCAGGUCCUGCAUAAGUGAAUUGGGGUUUUCAGGUCCUGCAUGGACUAGAUUAUAUGUAGGCAUUGUUUUUUUGGAUUGGGAUUGGGAUUAGGGCGUUCGAUAGAGGAUAUGUGGUAUUUCUUGGUGAAGAAGCUUUGUGAAGCGAGAAUGGACACACGUAAAAGGGCUAGAUUGCGUGUGGUAGGGGUGGGGAAAAAAACCGAAGAACCGAUAAACCGCACAGAACCAAUUAAAGGAACAGCAACAGCUGCAGAGUCAAGAUCUAAGAGUGUUGCUUUCGCCUUUGAGCGCUGUCAAUGGUGUUGGCCCCAGUGCAUGACAUCGCAGGCACCUACGGAAUUAAUAAACAGAGUCUGGAAUUGUAAAAGCUUAAAAACUCCAGGUCAAUUGGGAGGAGAAAACCACUUAGUGCCAUGGUAACGAAUGGAAUGUAUACACACAUAGAUUCGUGGAGAAACUAAACAUUUUGCGACUAGACUGCGGCCGAGCUAUUAAGUUUUGUUGUUGUGAAGAGUGACAAGUGAUACAUUAGACAUGGAUCUUAGUAAUGUUUUCCUUUUCGAAGAAUAUAUAGAACUGUGUUCAAUUUUUAUUCUGUGACUUAUAUGUCAUGGAGCUUAUUCUCAUUAUUUUGAGAUGCUUAUUUUCGUUGUUGCUUUUUCAUUUAUGUGGCAGAGAGCCAAUGUAACAUGCUUUAGUGUUUAGCAAUUUGACUAUA